UACAGAGGUCCCAAGCGUUGUUCGGAUUCACUGGGCGUAAAGGGUGCGUAGGUGGCUUGGUAAGUUUGAUGUGAAAUCUCCGGGCUUAACCCGGAAAUGGCAUUGAAUACUACUGUGCUGGAGGUUUGGAGGGGGGACUGGAAUUCUCGGUGUAGCAGUGAAAUGCGUAGACAUCGAGAGGAACACCAGUGGCGAAGGCGAGUCCCUGGACAACACCUGACACUGAGGCACGAAAGCUAGGGGAGCAAACAGG
Molecule: ribosomal RNA, 253 nt
Filed under: uncultured bacterium
Lineage: Bacteria
Description: partial 16S ribosomal RNA
Rfam family: Bacterial small subunit ribosomal RNA
Source: RNAcentral